Tribolium madens (black flour beetle) is the source of this 1673-nucleotide RNA transcript. RefSeq lists it as uncharacterized. Lineage: Eukaryota; Metazoa; Arthropoda; Insecta; Coleoptera; Tenebrionidae. The record is from RefSeq and is a predicted model, not a curated record. The transcript is spliced from 10 exons.
UUCGAUUUUACAAGUGGAGUUCCUCAAAAUAAAAAUAGCGUUGUGAGUUAGUUAACAGUGCACACAUCGUAUUAAAAUCUAAUUUAAUAAUUCUGAAAGCUAAAAAUAGUUUUUUUCGACGCGCCUCUACAGACGCGAAUGAUGCGGGAAAAGAGAAUGUUUUCGUUUACUUUCAACGUUUUGAAGUUUACUCGUACAUAAAAUUUUGUGUUUCGAUUUAAUUAUUAUGUCCCGCAAAUCUGGGACGAUUCCAAUCAUUCCAAAGUGUUGUGAUUGUGACAGCUACACUUCCACGCAAAAAACAAUCUUUUUAGGGAUUUGUCGCGGGAUUGUGUCUUUGAUUUCACUGGCUUUGUGUGUGGCAUUUCUAGCAAAUUUUGACAGUUUUAUCAUUUCUGAACACUUAAUAGAUCAACAAAGAGCCAAUACAGUACACAGUAUAUUAGUUGUGAUAAGUUUAGUCAACAUCAUCCAUUUGUUCGUAUCGAUUUUUAUCAUCUUGAUUGCCCGAUCAAAUAUUGGACACUCACGUAGUAUCAAAUUCUGGAUAAUUGUUGAUUUGGCCUUAGCCACAAUUUUUAUGUUGUGUGUUUUAAUAUUAUUAUUUACGAUGCCUUCACGCAAACUUUUCUUAAUUCUAGGAGCCAAACUGGUAAUUAUUUCCUUGUUUCUAUCAUACAGAUCCAGUGUUGCCUAUGUUGUGUAUAAGUCGGAUGAAGUUGGGAAUUUUUAAAAAAUAAAGAAUGUACCUAAUGAUUUAUGUACAUAAAUUACCAUAAGUAUGUAUAUGCAGGGUUCUGGAAUAUUACAAUUAACAAUGCAUUCUCGACCUUGAUUAUUGAGCACAAAACAAUGAUAUUGGGUUUUAGUUUUAUCGGGGUUCCACUAAUUAGCUCUCCACUAUUCUUAAAAAGAUUUCUCACAAGAAUUUUGCAACCAAAACUUGCUUCUCAGUGUUCUAAGUUCUCUUUAUUCACAUUCCUAGAACAAAUAUUUAAAACAAGUGUUGUACUCCAACAGGAAGAACAACUGUUUCGAAAUGGUAGAAGUAGUUGAAUCACAAAGUUCUAAUAAUAAUUCUGGUAAAAUAACUGUUUUACCCUCUUCGCUUGACUACCAUUCCUUCAGUCUCAAAAAGAGUUGGAUAGUUUUCUACAGUGUACGAAUAAUUAUCACAGCAAUUAUUAUUGCUUGCUUUGCCACUGAUUUAUAUUACGAGCCAUCUUUUGAUGGGAAAAUUAUACUGUGGUCAAUUAUUGGUUUACAUAUUGCCCAGUUUUUUUCAAAUCUUUAUAUGCUUACUAAAGUUUCGAACUAUGGAUUGGUACAUUUAUGUAAAAUAUGGUUUAUCAUGGAAAUCGUUUAUUUAGUAAUUUUUUCUGUGGAACUAGCCUCAUUUUUAGCGUUUAUUUCAUCGACUAUCAGAUGGGUCAAUAUAGUGAAAAUCAAAUUAAUUCUUGUUACAGUAUCAAUUUCCUCCAGAUAUGGGAGAUGGUUAUCAAAACAACAACAACAGCAUCCUUACCAAAUUCAAACCAAUGCAUAAGGAAAGACUGAAUUAAAACUAUUAUUAGAAAAAUUUUAUUUAUCCACAAUCACUCUAUAAAGAGACUUUAUUCCACACUUUAUAUGCAUAUCAAGUACCACUUUAUCCACUAGUGGAAUAAAGUAAC